UGCGGCUGGAUCCCCUCCUUUCUAAGGAUGAACUCUAUUGGCUCGGCUUGCCUUGCCUUAGCGUUCUCUUAGAACCAUCGGCGUGAGAGCUCGAUCACUCUCGCGCUUAGAUACUGGCGAAGCGCCGCCGCCUUCGUUUCUCUUUCUUGUCAUCACGCACGCUUCCAUUUGGGCCUGUAGCUCAGGUGGUUAGAGCGCACGCCUGAUAAGCGUGAGGUCGGUAGUUCAACUCUACCCAGGCCCACCACUCGCUCUGUCAUUUGGUUUGGCGAGAGUGGUCACGGUGAGCCCUGGGGAAGCGGUUUGGAACGUGGGAUCAAUUUUUGCCGGCGGGCUCUCGGGAGCGGUCCGGUAUUGGGGCCAUAGCUCAGCUGGGAGAGCGGUAGCUUUGCAAGCUUCAGGUCGUCGGUUCGAUCCCGACUGGCUCCACCAUUGAUCAGGACUGCAAGAGCAGCAGUCAUUCGAAAUGGUCUGAGUGGACCAGCCGUGCGUGGCGAAGAGAACAGGUUCCACCCAUUGGGUGGUUGAGCGCGUAACUGCGCAAAUUCAGACAUCGUGAAGAGGAAGAUAUGCCGGGACGGUGCCCAUUGGGCGCCGCUGAGUCCGCUCAGGAUCGUGUGACCGCAUGAUCAUUCGGUUUAUCUUGAAACGCUGGUCUUUCUAGCAAUGCCAAUCCGUACCGAGCGGGUGUCUUCGCGGGCGCCUGUGGGUGGGCAUUGUUAAUGAGAGAAAUCAAGUGACCUAAGGGCAUUUGGUGGAUGCCUUGGUGGUAAGAGGCGAUGAAGGACGUGGUACGCUGCGAUAAGCUACGGGGAGGUGCGAACACCCUUUGAUCCGUAGAUUU
RNAcentral lists this unclassified non-coding RNA (844 nucleotides) under uncultured bacterium. RNAcentral describes it as "partial contains 16S ribosomal RNA, 16S-23S ribosomal RNA intergenic spacer, and 23S ribosomal RNA". The stretch from base 731 to 844 matches the Rfam family "Bacterial large subunit ribosomal RNA", at positions 1 to 113 of the family's 2925-position model. The record is from RNAcentral.